This is a non-coding RNA of Paramuricea clavata, 801 nucleotides long. The record is from the annotation of a GenBank genome assembly. Lineage: Eukaryota; Metazoa; Cnidaria; Anthozoa; Malacalcyonacea; Plexauridae.
GUAACGCGUGGUAAUGUGUUCUGUUCGUAAUAGAAAAGCCAUAUUAUAAAACUAUUAGUACAUGGUAACGCAUGUGGCAAUGCGUGGUAACACGUUGCUUUAGUAUUUAUAUUUCAAAAGCCAUAUUAAACAUUAGUUUAUGGUAACUUGAAUAAAUUAAAACUUUGACCCCACCAAGUAAUCAAAAAUUAAUUAAAAAAUGCUUAUAGUUUCAUCAACAUUCAAUUAUCCAUUAAUUAACUUGAGUAACUAAAGUAUUAUUAAUCCAUGUGAAGUUAUAGGACUUUCUCUAAGAACUAUGCACGGUUAAUUCUCUAAUUUAACGGACCGAUCCAAGGAUGUACUCGACAGCCCUCCCCCCCCCCACCCCACCCCAUCCGGCUCAGAAGAAGACUUGAUAUGGUACCAUUAUACAACGUAGAUAUCUUUGUAUGGGCCUAACAAUACUAUCCAAAUUAUACUGAAUAGUAAGACGCUUCUAUUACUUCACAAAAAUUUCUUAAAUACUUAAUCCUUGCCCCGACACCUCUGGGAAUUAAAUUCUCCUCCCCCCCUCCCUCCCCCCGCCCACAGCUAUUGUGCCGCACAUAACAUGAUUUCAAAUAACUUCGAGCUGCUGCCAUCUAAGUUUUCUUAAUUCCUAAUAUAAUCGUCUACCAAACAUAUAGUGAUAUUUUUUUAAUCUCUCCCCCCAUUUCCUUUAUAUCUCCACCCCCCCCUGGUCAACUUGGCAGUACUGUACUAUUCUACAUGUGAACAAUAACCCGAAUAGUAUCAUGUACAGAGACUACUACACAAGCA